AACGCACGAGACCUGCGGACCUGCGGAAGGAUCAUUACCGAGUUUACAACUCCCAAACCCCCUGUGAACUUAUACCAUUACUGUUGCUUCGGCGGGUUAUUGCCCCGGGGAAGGACAGGCUGCCGCAAGGUGCCCUGCCGCCCCCCCCGGAAACAGGCGCCCGCCGGGGGACUUAAACUCUAUAUUUUUUUCUUGUUUUAGUGUAUACUGUCUGAGUAAAAAAACAUAAUGAAUCAAAAC
Molecule: unclassified non-coding RNA, 240 nt
Filed under: soil metagenome
Description: partial contains 5.8S ribosomal RNA, internal transcribed spacer 2, and large subunit ribosomal RNA
Source: RNAcentral